RNAcentral lists this ribosomal RNA (468 nucleotides) under Triticum aestivum (bread wheat). RNAcentral's name for it is "partial small subunit ribosomal RNA". Lineage: Eukaryota; Viridiplantae; Streptophyta; Magnoliopsida; Poales; Poaceae. The record is from RNAcentral.
GAGAAAAACUUCGGCUCUCUUUGUUUUAGGGUGCCCCAACUAUCCCCGCAAUUGCGUGCCCAGUAGCCCCGUCGGAACCUGCCCCUGACCACCACCACUUGCCGAAAUCCACCGUCUCCACUUACUGGAGUCCACCACCUCAACUUGCAGGACGCGUGACUCCGGGGUCUCCCGCUGCGGCUUUGUAGCCGGUGUGUACCGCGUGACGGCCCUCCUCACCAGCGCAGCGACCAUCCUCCGCCCCUCCGCUGGCGCAGGAACCCUCCUCCACGCAGCGCGCACCGCUGCCACCUCCACAGCCCCCACUGGGGGCUGCUGCCGACCACCUUCGUCCCUCCGGUGCCGCCGUCCACUUCGAUCCCCCUGCUGCUGCCGUCCACCUUCGGUCCCCUAGGCUGCCACCGUGUAACUUCGGUCCCCCGCCGCCAGUCAGAACGUCGGGCGCGACCUUCCCCCUUCGGACACCAC